This 484-nucleotide ribosomal RNA is filed under the name uncultured bacterium. RNAcentral's name for it is "partial 16S ribosomal RNA". It matches the Rfam family "Bacterial small subunit ribosomal RNA", at positions 30 to 507 of the family's 1533-position model. The record is from RNAcentral.
AGUGAACGCUGGCGGCAGGCCUAACACAUGCAAGUCGAACGGCAGCGCGGGCAUCGCCCUGUCGGCGAGGGGCGAAGGGGCGGGCAAGGGAGCGGAACGUGCGCAGCUGCGGGGGAGAGGGGGGUGAAAGAGGGAAUAAUACGGCAAAACACCAGACGGCGUAAGGGGGGGAGCGAAAGGCCUUGGGCCAUUGGAGGAGCGGAUGUCGGAUUAGCUAGUUGGCGGGGUAAAGGCGUACCAAGGCGACGAUCCGUAGCUGGUCUGAGAGGAUGACCAGCCACACUGGAACUGAGACACGGCCCAGACUCCUACGGGAGGCAGCAGUGGGGAAUUUUGGACAAUGGGCGCAAGCCUGAUCCAGCUAUGCCGCGUGCGUGAAGAAGGCCUUCGGGUUGUAAACCGCUUUUGUUGGGGAAGAAAAGCACCAGGCUAAUACCCCGGGGUGAUGACGGUACCGAAAGAAUAAGCACCGGCUAACUUCGUG